GCAGUCGAGCGGUAGAGAGAAGCUUGCUUCUCUUGAGAGCGGCGGACGGGUGAGUAAUGCCUAGGAAUCUGCCUGGUAGUGGGGGAUAACGUUCGGAAACGGACGCUAAUACCGCAUACGUCCUACGGGAGAAAGCAGGGGACCUUCGGGCCUUGCGCUAUCAGAUGAGCCUAGGUCGGAUUAGCUAGUUGGUGAGGUAAUGGCUCACCAAGGCGACGAUCCGUAACUGGUCUGAGAGGAUGAUCAGUCACACUGGAACUGAGACACGGUCCAGACUCCUACGGGAGGCAGCAGUGGGGAAUAUUGGACAAUGGGCGAAAGCCUGAUCCAGCCAUGCCGCGUGUGUGAAGAAGGUCUUCGGAUUGUAAAGCACUUUAAGUUGGGAGGAAGGGUUGUAGAUUAAUACUCUGCAAUUUUGACGUUACCGACAGAAUAAGCACCGGCUAACUCUGUGCCAGCAGCCGCGGUAAUACAGAGGGUGCAAGCGUUAAUCGGAAUUACUGGGCGUAAAGCGCGCGUAGGUGGUUUGUUAAGUUGGAUGUGAAAUCCCCGGGCUCAACCUGGGAACUGCAUUCAAAACUGACUGACUAGAGUAUGGUAGAGGGUGGUGGAAUUUCCUGUGUAGCGGUGAAAUGCGUAGAUAUAGGAAGGAACACCAGUGGCGAAGGCGACCACCUGGACUAAUACUGACACUGAGGUGCGAAAGCGUG
RNAcentral lists this ribosomal RNA (710 nucleotides) under Pseudomonas sp. Y4_418_1. RNAcentral describes it as "bacterial SSU rRNA". It matches the Rfam family "Bacterial small subunit ribosomal RNA", at positions 57 to 763 of the family's 1533-position model. The record is from RNAcentral. Lineage: Bacteria; Pseudomonadati; Pseudomonadota; Gammaproteobacteria; Pseudomonadales; Pseudomonadaceae.